UAAGCACAAGACUCACUCUCACCACACAGUAGGACAGAGACAUAAUCUUUGGCUUCAAACUUUCAAAUCUUACAAGAUUUAACUUGAGUUAUUUGUUAAAGAAACUUCAAAACUUCUAGUCAACUGAUGAUGGAUCUGAAAUUGUGGUUCUCAUUUCUUAUGGUUUGUGGGAUGGCUGGAUCUAAACUCUUACACAAGGACUGGCUCAUAAAUGUGCCAUCAAGAAUCCCUGUUCUUCAAAGCUCAUGUGUGGUCAUUCCCUGUGUAUACUCGUAUCCCAAGACAACAAAAAUAUUGAACAGAUGGCAGGGAUUCUGGAAGAGAGGGGACACGAUUGUCGCAUCAACUUUCCCUGAGUUGAAACUAUCGCGUGAUUUCAAGCAUCGAACCAGAAUGGCAGGAUUCCUUCAAAGUGGCAACUGCACCUGGGAGCUGUAUGGCAUCAGAAAAACCGACACUGGUCCGUUUUACUUCAGAAUUGAAAUUCCACAACAUAAAAGCUUCACUUUCUCAAACAAUAAGGUGACCCUGGACAUCUACCGUGAGUAUAUUAGAGACCUUUUCAGUAAUUCAAACUGAAUUCUUUACUUUAAGAUAGUAAAACAUGUUUAAAUAACUAYUUAACAACUGAUUUUGUGACAAUUG
Poecilia reticulata (guppy) is the source of this 645-nucleotide long non-coding RNA. RefSeq lists it as uncharacterized. NCBI's taxonomy places the organism in Eukaryota, Metazoa, Chordata, Actinopteri, Cyprinodontiformes, Poeciliidae. The record is from RefSeq and is a predicted model, not a curated record.